RNAcentral lists this long non-coding RNA (266 nucleotides) under Salvia miltiorrhiza (redroot sage). RNAcentral's name for it is "long non-coding RNA (SMIL_LNC009524)". The record is from RNAcentral. Lineage: Eukaryota; Viridiplantae; Streptophyta; Magnoliopsida; Lamiales; Lamiaceae.
CCGUGGAUACAUUGGCUUACAUUGUUGAUACAGUUGCUUUAAUUUGUAGACAUUAUAGAUAUUUAAACAUGAUUGCUUCAUAAAUACAAUUGACAUGGAUAUAUGCACUGUAGGCAUGAUUGCAUCUAUAGACCAUUUGUGCCUACAGUUUCCAACGGUAUAUUAAGCUCAACAAUGUGACACAAAACAAUGUCUUUUAAAACUGUAAAAUAUAAAUUACACGGUGGCAUCUGAUGAGCCACGUCAUGAUUUCGAAGAUCGAAUUA